RNAcentral lists this ribosomal RNA (459 nucleotides) under uncultured bacterium. RNAcentral's name for it is "partial 16S ribosomal RNA". It matches the Rfam family "Bacterial small subunit ribosomal RNA", at positions 338 to 795 of the family's 1533-position model. The record is from RNAcentral.
CCUACGGGUGGCAGCAGUGAGGAAUAUUGGUCAAUGGGCUCGAGCCUGAACCAGCCAAGUCGCGUGAGGGAAGACGGCCCUAUGGAUUGUAAACCUCUUUUGUCGGGGAGCAAAAGACGCCACGCGUGGCGUUCCGAGAGUACCCGAAGAAAAAGCAUCGGCUAACUCCGUGCCAGCAGCCGCGGUAAUACGGAGGAUGCGAGCGUUAUCCGGAUUUAUUGGGUUUAAAGGGUGCGCAGGCGGAAGAUCAAGUCAGCGGUAAAAUUGAGGGGAUCAACCUCUUCGAGCCGUUGAAACUGGUGUUCUUGAGUGAGUGAGAAGUAUGCGGAAUGCGUGGUGUAGCGGUGAAAUGCAUAGAUAUCACGCAGAACUCCGAUUGCGAAGGCAGCAUACCGGCGCUCAACUGACGCUCAUGCACGAAAGUGUGGGUAUCGAACAGGAUUAGAUACCCCAGUAGUC